RNAcentral lists this ribosomal RNA (502 nucleotides) under uncultured bacterium. Its description in RNAcentral is "bacterial SSU rRNA". It matches the Rfam family "Bacterial small subunit ribosomal RNA", at positions 16 to 507 of the family's 1533-position model. The record is from RNAcentral.
AUCAUGGCUCAGGAUGAACGCUAGCUACAGGCUUAACACAUGCAAGUCGAGGGGCAGCAGGGAUUUAGCUUGCUAAAUCCGCUGGUCGACCGGCGCACGGGUGCGUAACGCGUAUCCAACUUUCCCGUUACUCUCGGAUAGCCUUCCGAAAGGGAGAUUAAUACGAGAUGGUGUUCAGUUUCCGCAUGUUUACUGAACUAAAGAUUCAUCGGUAACGGAUAGGGAUGCGUGACAUUAGAUAGUUGGGGGGGUAACGGCCCACCAAGUCAACGAUGUCUAGGGGUUCUGAGAGGAAGGUCCCCCACACUGGAACUGAGACACGGUCCAGACUCCUACGGGAGGCAGCAGUGAGGAAUAUUGGUCAAUGGGCGCAGGCCUGAACCAGCCAAGUAGCGUGAAGGAUGAAGGUUCUAUGGAUUGUAAACUUCUUUAUACGGGAAUAACAUCACCUACGUGUAGGUGCCUGCAUGUACCGUAUGAAUAAGCAUCGGCUAACUCCGUG